CUAUACAUGCAGUCGAGCGAACAGAGAAGGAGCUUGCUCCUUCGACGUUAGCGGCGGACGGGUGAGUAACACGUGGGCAACCUACCUUAUAGUUUGGGAUAACUCCGGGAAACCGGGGCUAAUACCGAAUAAUCUGUUUCACCUCAUGGUGAAACACUGAAAGACGGUUUCGGCUGUCGCUAUAGGAUGGGCCCGCGGCGCAUUAGCUAGUUGGUGAGGUAACGGCUCACCAAGGCGACGAUGCGUAGCCGACCUGAGAGGGUGAUCGGCCACACUGGGACUGAGACACGGCCCAGACUCCUACGGGAGGCAGCAGUAGGGAAUCUUCCACAAUGGGCGAAAGCCUGAUGGAGCAACGCCGCGUGAGUGAAGAAGGAUUUCGGUUCGUAAAACUCUGUUGUAAGGGAAGAACAAGUACAGUAGUAACUGGCUGUACCUUGACGGUACCUUAUUAGAAAGCCACGGCUAACUACGUGCCAGCAGCCGCGGUAAUACGUAGGUGGCAAGCGUUGUCCGGAAUUAUUGGGCGUAAAGCGCGCGCAGGUGGUUUCUUAAGUCUGAUGUGAAAGCCCACGGCUCAACCGUGGAGGGUCAUUGGAAACUGGGAGACUUGAGUGCAGAAGAGGAUAGUGGAAUUCCAAGUGUAGCGGUGAAAUGCGUAGAGAUUUGGAGGAACACCAGUGGCGAAGGCGACUAUCUGGUCUGUAACUGACACUGAGGCGCGAAAGCGUG
RNAcentral lists this ribosomal RNA (732 nucleotides) under bacterium 166_oclvp485b. Its description in RNAcentral is "bacterial SSU rRNA". It matches the Rfam family "Bacterial small subunit ribosomal RNA", at positions 49 to 763 of the family's 1533-position model. The record is from RNAcentral. RNAcentral also lists the same sequence under 1 other name.